RNAcentral lists this ribosomal RNA (406 nucleotides) under uncultured bacterium. Its description in RNAcentral is "partial 16S ribosomal RNA". It matches the Rfam family "Bacterial small subunit ribosomal RNA", at positions 30 to 526 of the family's 1533-position model. The record is from RNAcentral.
AUUGAACGCUGGCGGCAGGCUUAACACAUGCAAGUCGAGCGAGCGGCGGACGGGUGAGUAAUGUCUGGGAAACUGCCUGAUGGAGGGGGAUAACUACGGGAAACGGUAGCUAAUACCGCAUACCAUCGGAUGUGCCCAGAUGGGAUUAGCUAGUAGGUGGGGUAAUGGCUCACCUAGGCGACGAUCCCUAGCUGGUCUGAGAGGAUGACCAGCCACACUGGAACUGAGACACGGUCCAGACUCCUACGGGAGGCAGCAGUGGGGAAUAUUGCACAAUGGGCGCAAGCCUGACGCAGCCAUGCCGCGUGAGUGAAGAAGACCUUCGGGUUGUAAAGCACUUUCAGUGAGGAGGCGUUACUCGCAGAAGAAGCACCGGCUAACUCCGUGCCAGCCGCCGCGGUAAUUC